GCCCCAGUGGCCUAAUGGACAAGGCACUGGCCUCCUAAGCCAGGGAUGGUGGGUUCGAGUCCCACCUGGGGUA
This is a transfer RNA of Patagioenas fasciata monilis, 73 nucleotides long. It matches the Rfam family "tRNA". From Rfam's summary of the family: Transfer RNA (tRNA) molecules are approximately 80 nucleotides in length. Their secondary structure includes four short double-helical elements and three loops (D, anti-codon, and T loops). The record is from Rfam. NCBI's taxonomy places the organism in Eukaryota, Metazoa, Chordata, Aves, Columbiformes, Columbidae.